Molecule: ribosomal RNA, 1444 nt
Filed under: metagenome
Description: bacterial SSU rRNA
Rfam family: Bacterial small subunit ribosomal RNA
Source: RNAcentral
AGAGUUUGAUCCUGGCUCAGGACGAACGCUGGCGGCGUGGAUAAGGCAUGCAAGUCGAGCGCAUCACUUCGGUGAUGAGCGGCAAACGGGUGAGUAACACGUGGGUAAUUUUUCCUUCGACUCAGGGAUAACCAUUAGAAAUGAUGGCUAAUACCUGAUAGACAGAGGGGGACAUAAGUCAUUCCUCUGUAAAGAUUUAUUGGUCGAAGAGAAGCCUGCGUCCUAUCAGCUUGUUGGUGAGGUAAAAGCUCACCAAGGCGAUGACGGGUAGCUAGGCCGAGAGGUCGGUUAGCCACACUGGGACUGAGACACUGCCCAGACACCUACGGGUGGCUGCAGUCGAGAAUCUUCCCCAAUGAGCGAAAGCUUGAGGGAGCGACGCCGCGUGAAGGAUGACACUCUUCGGAGCGUAAACUUCUUUUCUUAUUGAGAAAACUUGAUCGUAAAUAAGGAAUAAGAGGCUGCUAAUUCCGUGCCAGAAGCAUCGGUUACACGGAAGCCUCGAGCGUUGUCCGGAAUAAUUGGGCGUAAAGCGUCAGCAGGGGGUUUGAAUAGUCGGAUGUUAAAUCUUACGGCUCAACCGUAAGGCUGCAUUCGAAACGUUUAAACUCGAGGAAUCGAGAGGUACAUGGAACACCUAGUGUAGCAGUAAUAUGCAUUGAUAUUAGGUGGAACACCAAUGGCGAAGGCAUUGUACUGGCGAUCUCCUGACCCUCAUUGACGAAAGCGUGGAUAGCGAAUGGGAUUAGAUACCCCAGUAGUCCACGCCGUAAACGCUGGAUACUAGGCAUUGGAAGUUUCGACCCUUUCAGUGUCGUAGCUAACGCGUUAAGUAUCCCGCCUGGGAAGUACGGUCGCAAGACUAAAACUCAAAGGAAUAGAAGGGAGCCCGCACAAGCGGUGGAGCGUGUGGUUUAAUUCGACGCUAAGCGAAGAACCUGACCUGGGCUUGACAUCCUUGGAAUCCCCUAGAAACAGGGGAGUGCCUUUUUGGAACCAAGUGACAGGUGAUGCAUGGCUGUCGUCAGCUCGUGCCGUAAGGUGUUCGGUUAAGUCCGGAAACGAGCGCAACCCUCGUCGAAUGUUGUAUUUUUCAUUCGAGACUGCCCGGGACAACCGGGAGGAAGGUGGGGAUGACGUCAAGUCCGCAUUUCCCUCUGAUGCCCAGGGCGACACACGCGCUACAAUGGGAAGGAGCAACGGGUUGCAUAGCCGCAAGGUGAAGCUAAUCCCACAAAACUUUCCUCAGUUCGGAUUGAGGGCUGCAAUUUGCCCUCAUGAAGUUGGAAUCGCUAGUAAUCCCGAAUCAGCACGUCGGGGUGAAUACGUUCUCGGGCUUUGUACUCACCGCCCGUCACACCAAGAGAGUCGAUAACACCCGAAGGCUCUACAUUUGUAGGGACGAAGGUGGGAUCGAUGAUAAGGGUGAAGUCGUAACAAGGCA